Molecule: non-coding RNA, 94 nt
Organism: Eucalyptus grandis
Lineage: Eukaryota; Viridiplantae; Streptophyta; Magnoliopsida; Myrtales; Myrtaceae
Source: Rfam
AAACGGCGGUGAUGAUCGAUGUACAGCUUCAAAUGCCAGUUCUGCUUCAGAAAAUUCUUGAUUGAUAGAGCUGUUUAUAUUGUCUGAGCCCUUC